UUCUCUCUGCAACAUGAACAGCAAGGACAGCUUGGGUUUUGUCAUCUGACAGGCCAUCCUUAACUAAUUGUUUUGCGUUACAUGUUUUGUUGGAUCAGGACAGCUCCAAUGUGCGGACUCCGAUCGAUCGCGACUCUUCGGUCCUUUCGAUUCGCAUCUCUCGUGCUUGUUUGGAGGUGCUGAUGGAAUCCUGUACUUGAAAGACACUGCUUCGCGGCCACGACUGUCAUGAACGCAGGAACCGAUUUCGAGAAGGAAUGUAGACAUCAAAGUGCAGCAGUGGGGGGUGGGCCUCUGUGGUCCCAAACCCAGGGAGUUCGAAUCAACACUUCACGUUCGCAACCUGCUUGCUUUUAUUCCUCUUCCGCCUUGACAGUCCUACAAAAGCGAGAAUCGCCCCCAAACUCCAAAGGUUAAGUACAAGAUUCAAAAGGAAAAGGAGAACCCCCAGUAUAAGAAUAGGAAGAAACCAAGCUCCUCUCCAUUGCCUUGAUCCGGGGGAGUCACCAAGGAAGAGCAGGAGAUGAGGGCCUUGUUCGGUGGCCUGGCAUGCUUGUUCUGCAUCGGUCUCCUGGUUUCCAUGGCAAAACCUGGUGCAGCAACAAGAAUUAUUGCACCACCAGUGGCUGCUCCUACUGUGCCUUCACCAAUGGCUUGGCCAUUACACCACAUGAAGCUGGAUCCUUUCUAUAGUAGCAAGAGAAGAGUGCCUAAUGGACCUGAUCCGAUACACAACAGGAGAAGUGGGAAGUCAGGAAGACCUCCAGGAAGAGCAUGAGGACCAGAGGCAUGCAAGCUUUCUUCGCUUGGAAGAUGGAUUACAGGAUUUAUAUGGAUCUCAUAUUAAAUGCAUCUAACAAAUGUGUCAUCUUUAAACACUCCCAGAACACUAGCCAUGAUAUCCUUGCUUUUGCCAAAGUGCUGUUCUUUAUGGAGAUUUUGAAGGUGGUGGGGUGUUUAAAGAGUGCAAGCUUCACCAACACAAAAUACCCACUCAAGAUUCUUGACAAACAUGGGAAGACCUUUCGCUGUUGCUUUACUGACCUCCUUUAUUCUGAGAGUGAGAGGUAGAAAGAGAGAAUGAAAUGGAAGAAACAACAUGACCUGUAACAAAUGCAUUCAAUCGAAGCUCACAGUCUGGUUUUCUU
Long non-coding RNA from Musa acuminata subsp. malaccensis (wild Malaysian banana), 1148 nucleotides. RefSeq lists it as uncharacterized. NCBI's taxonomy places the organism in Eukaryota, Viridiplantae, Streptophyta, Magnoliopsida, Zingiberales, Musaceae. The record is from RefSeq and is a predicted model, not a curated record.